CAAAUUCAGUUGCUUGAGCAUCAUGGACUAGAGUGUAGUGCCCGUUGGUCCAGCGUCGCAGCUCCCCGGCGCACACAGGGGUACUUGAGCCUAUGGGAGGGAACAAAUGCCAGGGAAAACAAUGAAGUUGACCAGUACUUCAGUCCUGCUAAGCUCUAGUUGUCCCCCCGCACCACCCCAGAUUUACAGUACAGCUCUGAACUUCAAAAGCCAGCAACAACCUGUCUGCUCUGCAAGUACACUGCGAAACCAGCCGAUGCUUCAGGGAAGAUAGUGCUCUGAACUCACUCUUCAUGUGAAUCCCAGGCAGGUACAUCAGAAUUUGGGAAAGCCUUUCUUUUCUCAUGGCCCCAGCUCAGUUUUCAAUCCAUGCAGCCUCAAACUAUGCCUUCCUCCUACACAAGUUCAAAAUCACACAGCAGGAGCAUUGUAGAUAGAAAAAGCAAAUGUCUAGCUGUGGAAAUCAGAAAAAAAAACAACAACAAAGCUUUUGUACCACUGAAGUAUUUGGGUGGGAUUUUCAGUAGGACUCGGUUUUUGAUCCCUUUUUCUUCCAAUGUCCAUAAAACAUUUUAAAAAAUUCUACCCUUAAACUUCAAAGCUACUGCCUUAAACAGCACCGGUCCAUGAUUCCAAAAUUAAUAUUAUUGUUUAUAUACGAUAUCUUAUUGCUGGCAAUUAAUUGGUUGUUUAGGCUGGCAGCAUUUUCUAAAAGGUUAAAUCUUAAUUUUUAGGUAUUAGUUUUCUAAAUCCAAAAUUACCUUUACUUCUAAUCUCUUCACUUCCUUCUAUUUGAUUUGGUCUCUCAUAUAAAAAUCUAUUUUAUAUGAAGCAGGAACAUGUGGAUGUAGAAACCAUGUAACUAUUGGCAAAGCAUUAUCGGGCAAUCAACACCCUUCCCUCCUCACCCAUCCUUUAACUCCUGCAGAAGUCUUGUCCUAUAGACUUGGGGCUGACAAGGUCUGUUCAAAAUGCUGCUCCAAUGCAUUAUUUUAGUCCAAAUUCUUCUGCAAUGGUCGGUUUUUUUUUGGAUACCCCAUCUGACAUGCUCCAAAUCCCAUGUUUGUGCCCUGCGCUUGCUGCAGGUGAAAUUCUACUUCCAUGAGAAUCUCUAGGAAUUCUGCUACCAAAACCCUUGAAGUCAGGAUUCUGCUCUAGUCCUUUCAUGCUGCUGCUGCUCCACUUACCAUUCUGUGUCUCGCUGUCUUGUGCUUCGGGGAUGUCGUCAGGCUGAUGGGCACUGCCAUCAGCGUGUUGCUCAGUCCCAUCCUGCCUGGGUUUGGGACUGCUGUGCCCAGCACUGUCUGCUGCUCUUCCUUCCCCAGCAUCUUCAUCCUCAUCGGAAGGCGCCAAGAAGUGCAGCUUCAGGCCAGUGAAGUUGGAAAGCAGUAAAAACAAAGCCUCUGAGCGUAAGAACUGCAGGAAGUUCUUCAGGAUAUCAGGGAGGCUGUCCUCCUCUGCUGCCUCGUAGAGUCUGAAAGAUAGCAGAGGUAUCAGCAGUGGGGAACCGAUGGCCACGUUGGUCAGUGCAGCCUCACGGCAGCUCCUGCUUGGCAUGGUCGAGUUCCCUGAGUGCUCCUUAGCUGCGAGAGCUUGAGGGACAGGACUGUUAUUACACACGGAAUGAAUAACCACAACAGUGAGAAAAAUCAAAAUGAAUAAAAGGCAGCUCCUUGCCUGGUGGAAAGAGACUGGAGACACUUCAAAGAAAACCAGCGUGUUCCACGAAGGCAUUAAUGACUUGAUGAUUUUCUGCGGCUGAAAGUGUUCUGAGGAGGAAGAAAGCAUACUCUGAUUAAGAUAAGAACUGGUGCUUGCGAGGAACUGACAUUUCUCUCUGCCUACAUGAUAUUGUGACAGGUGAGACACCUGGGUGUAAGGUAUGGAGCUCAGAGCAAGAGCCUGAUGAGCAAUCAGUGAACUUUUAUUGCUGGAAAGGAAAGUUAUCUUCGUCACAUUAAAGUUCCAAGCACAGUUACCGGCUUCACUUCUAUCCUGCCUCCAUUCUUGGCUCCUUCAAAGAAGCGGGGAAAAAAAGGAUUCCCCUCUUCAUUGGCCUCUUUUUCCUCUGCUGUCACCCACCAGCCGUGUCUGCAAAGACUACUACAGCCCCUCUCCAAGGUGCAAAUUUUAUCCAUAUGUCAGCUUUUCUGAAUUAAGAAUAAAUUAUUUAUCUUCCUUGUA
This is a long non-coding RNA of Anas platyrhynchos (mallard), 2184 nucleotides long. RefSeq lists it as uncharacterized. NCBI's taxonomy places the organism in Eukaryota, Metazoa, Chordata, Aves, Anseriformes, Anatidae. The record is from RefSeq and is a predicted model, not a curated record.